UGGCUCAGUUGGUAGAGCAUGGCACUUGCAAUGCCAGGGUUGUGGGUUUGAUUCCCAC
Molecule: non-coding RNA, 58 nt
Organism: Salmo salar (Atlantic salmon)
Lineage: Eukaryota; Metazoa; Chordata; Actinopteri; Salmoniformes; Salmonidae
Source: Rfam